RNAcentral lists this ribosomal RNA (756 nucleotides) under uncultured bacterium. Its description in RNAcentral is "bacterial SSU rRNA". It matches the Rfam family "Bacterial small subunit ribosomal RNA", at positions 8 to 796 of the family's 1533-position model. The record is from RNAcentral.
AGAGUUUGAUCCUGGCUCAGAUCAACGCUGGCGGCGCGCCUAACACUGCAAGUCGAACGAGAAAGCAGGAGCAAUCUUGUGAGUAAAGUGGCGUACGGGUGAGUAACACGUGGAUCAUCUACCCUCUUGUGGGGGAUAACUCUGGGAAACCGGAGCUAAUACCGCAUGAGCUCGAGAGAGGAAAGCAGCAAUGCGCAGGAGGAGGAGUCCGCGGCCGAUUAGCUAGUUGGUAGGGUAAAAGCCUACCAAGGCUACGAUCGGUAGCCGGCCUGAGAGGGCACACGGCCACACUGGCACUGAAACACGGGCCAGACUCCUACGGGAGGCAGCAGUGGGGAAUCUUGCACAAUGGGGGCAACCCUGAUGCAGCGACGCCGCGUGAGCGAUGAAGCCCUUCGGGGUGUAAAGCUCUUUCGGCAGGGAAGAUUAUGACGGUACCUGCAGAAGCAGCUGCGGCUAACUACGUGCCAGCAGCCGCGGUAAUACGCAGGCAGCGAGCGUUGUUCGGAGUUACUGGGCGUAAAGGGUGUGUAGGCGGUCUUCUAAGUCUGGUGUGAAAUCUCCCGGCUCAACUGGGAGGGUGCGCCGGAAACUGGAAGGCUAGAGUGCGGGAUGGGAGAGUGGAAUUCCUGGUGUAGCGGUGAAAUGCGUAGAUAUCAGGAGGAACACCUGUGGUGUAGACGGCUCUCUGGACCGCAACUGACGCUGAGACACGAAAGCGUGGGUAGCAAACAGGAUUAGAUACCCUAGUAGUCC